RNAcentral lists this transfer RNA (73 nucleotides) under Candidatus Woesearchaeota archaeon. Its description in RNAcentral is "tRNA-Gln". It matches the Rfam family "tRNA". Rfam says of the family: Transfer RNA (tRNA) molecules are approximately 80 nucleotides in length. Their secondary structure includes four short double-helical elements and three loops (D, anti-codon, and T loops). Further hydrogen bonds mediate the characteristic L-shaped molecular structure. tRNAs have two regions of fundamental functional importance: the anti-codon, which is responsible for specific mRNA codon recognition, and the 3' end, to which the tRNAs corresponding amino acid is attached (by aminoacyl-tRNA synthetases). tRNAs cope with the degeneracy of the genetic code in two manners: having more than one tRNA (with a specific anti-codon) for a particular amino acid; and 'wobble' base-pairing, i.e. permitting non-standard base-pairing at the 3rd anti-codon position. The record is from RNAcentral. Lineage: Archaea; Nanobdellati; Candidatus Woesearchaeota.
AGCUCCCUGGUGUAGUGGCCAAGCAUUGCGGGUUCUGGCCCCGUAGACCGCGGUUCGAAUCCGCGGGGAGCUA